Molecule: ribosomal RNA, 433 nt
Filed under: uncultured bacterium
Lineage: Bacteria
Description: partial 16S ribosomal RNA
Rfam family: Bacterial small subunit ribosomal RNA
Source: RNAcentral
AACGAACGCUGGCGGCAUGCCUAACACAUGCAAGUCGAACGAGACCUUCGGGUCUAGUGGCGCACGGGUUCGUAACGCGUUGGAACCUGCCCUUAGGUUCGGAAUAACUCCCCGAAAGGGGUGCUAAUACCGGAUAAUGUCUUCUGACCAAAGAUUUAUCGCCUUUGGAUGGGCCCGCGUUGGAUUAGCUAGUUGGUAGGGUAAAAGCCUACCAAGGCGACGAUCCAUAGCUGGUCUGAGAGGAUGAUCAGACACACUGGGACUGAGACACGGCCCAGAAUACUACGGGAGGGAGCAGUGGGGAAUAUAGGAAAAGGGGGGAAAGCAUGAUAAAGCAAUGACGGGUGAGUGAUGAAGGCCUUAGGGUUGUAAAGCUCUUUUACCAGGGAUGAUAAUGACAGCACCGGGAGAAUAAGCACCGGCUAACUCCGUG